UAGUGAGUUUGAUCCUGGCUCAGGACGAACGCUGGCGGUAUGCCUAACACAUGCAAGUCGAACGAGAUCUUUUUUUGUUUACGUCCGCGUAGCGGUGAAAAAGAUUGCAGUGGCGGACGGGUGAGUAACACGUAACUGACCUACCCCGUAGUCCCGCACAACGGUCCGAAAGGACCGCUAAUUCGGGAUGUGAACCCGCACCGUGGUGCGUGUUUAAAGAUUCAUCGCUAUGGGAUGGGGGUUGCGGCGCAUCAGCUCGUUGGUGAGGUAAAGGCUCACCAAGGGCAACGACGCGUAACCGGCCUGAGAGGGUGUCGGUCACAGGGGCACUGAGACACGGGGCCCCACUCCUACGGGAGGCAGCAGUUAGGAAUCUUCCCCGAAUGGGCGCAAGCCUGAGGGAGCGACGCCCGCGUGC
This 418-nucleotide ribosomal RNA is filed under the name uncultured bacterium. Its description in RNAcentral is "bacterial SSU rRNA". It matches the Rfam family "Bacterial small subunit ribosomal RNA", at positions 1 to 404 of the family's 1533-position model. The record is from RNAcentral.